GGGACAGGGGGGUCUCCGCCGACACCGGCGGGGCCUGUCCUCCAGGUUGCGCGAACGCGUGGCCCAGUGGUUGUCGCUCGGGGGUGAUCGCCG
RNAcentral lists this small RNA (93 nucleotides) under Streptomyces subrutilus. RNAcentral's name for it is "che1 RNA". It matches the Rfam family "che1 RNA". Lineage: Bacteria; Bacillati; Actinomycetota; Actinomycetes; Kitasatosporales; Streptomycetaceae. The record is from Rfam by way of RNAcentral.